This is a long non-coding RNA of Podarcis raffonei (Aeolian wall lizard), 5104 nucleotides long. RefSeq lists it as uncharacterized. The transcript is spliced from 2 exons. The record is from RefSeq and is a predicted model, not a curated record. Lineage: Eukaryota; Metazoa; Chordata; Lepidosauria; Squamata; Lacertidae.
UGGGAUUGCAUUGAAGGAACAUUUUACUAUUUAUGAAGAAAGAACCUACUGCGGAUGACUUACAUUUGGAUGCCAGAAAACUGCUGAUAAAACCUGGAAGUGAAGUUCAUAUCAACGAUAUCAUCGAGUUUGAAAUCUUUUAUACAUAUGAAGUUUUUACUAACUUUUUAGGCUGUUUUAAAAAAAUUUAAUAUGCCUGUAUUCCUACAUUUCUAAAACGGCUUGUUUUUCCAGUGCCCAUUCUUCUAUGCAGGUUUAUUACACAGCGGUAGGUUUUUAGCAAUUAUUUUCACCAUGUUUGUGGUAUGAAGGUUAUUUUUUAGCAAGUUCUGCACUCCAGAGAUUUCUAUUUUGUAGUGCCUUUAAUAAUAUAUCAACUAAAUAUUGAAAAAGUGCAUCUGAGCAGCUAGGGAAAAGUUUUUAAACAAUAUAUUUUGAAGAAUAUAUUCAUAUUUAAAGAAUACAUGCAAUAGAUUUUUUUUUUAAAGAAAGAAAUUAUAUACAAACGUGUGUCUUAUUUAAAAAGUUAAACUGGAAAGUGCAAUUUGAAAGUGACUGAGACCUCUACAUUACGUCCUGGCAUUCGUAUGGUUUCUUAGUUAUCUGGAGCCACAACGAACCCCCUCUUUGUUGAUAUAAAGAUGCUCCUAUGAAUUAGCUCGGUUAAAUUACGCUUAAUUUUGAGAAUAACCUGCUCCACAGAGCCACCUUAGAUAUUUAUCAGCAUUCUUUAAUAUUUUCCAGGCUCCGAGCAUAAGCAAGAAGCAAGUCUAUUAUAUUUCAUGGAGGGAAAAUAUUCUUCCAAUUUGCUCAUUUACUACAGAAGCAGUUGCCCUAGGAUUUUUAUUUUUAAGGGUUUAUGGAACCCUACGGCAUCGCUGCACAUGUGAGUACAGUCAUACCUCGGGUUACAGACGCUUCAGGUUGCGCGUUUUCAGGUUGCGCACCGCGCCGAACCCGGAAGUACCGGAACGGCACCGAAUCAUGACCCACGCGUGUGCAGACGCAGCGCUGCGGGUUGCGAACGUGCCUCCCGCACGGAUCACGUUCACAGCCCAAGCAUCCACUGUAGUAUGUAGAUUGCUCCAAACUCCAUCUGCAAGCUUCUGUCUUUGGUGUUGCUCCUUCAUGAGAAAGUAGGCAUUCAGAUGUCAUGAAACCAAGCUCUCUUGUGGGAGGAACUAUUUCUCAGUGACUCUGCAUGCAGGAAAUCUCACGUUUAGUCCCUGGCAUCUACACAAAAUGGAUUGGGUAGCAAGUGACCUCUGUGCCAGUCCAUAGUAAUCGAUACCAGCCUGACCCAGUGCAGUUCCUGUCUUAUAGCAACUGUACCUUGGUUUCAUUUAUACAAGCACAGAAACCAUGGUUAAACUUUGUGGUAGAGUUAGUUGGCUCCCGAGAAUAAGUGGUGUUGUAUCCCAAGGUGCAAAUGGCAGCAUUUAUUCUAGAUACUCAUAUUCUGUGCCUUUAGCUUCCAUUUUUAAAUAGAGGUUAAGCCAAAACUUGAAUCUAAGUGAGAAUGAACUAAAGGGCUGUUUGUCUCACGAUGUGAGACAUUUUGCCCCUGAGUCAAGAGGUUUUUAAUAUCUUUCUCAGAUUUUUUUAGACAUGGUAUUUGACUUGUGACCAGUGGCCUUCGAUGCUUGCUUUCAUAGUUUCAGCUUUGGAUAACUUUUUGUUUGUCCUAAAUCCUUACCAACCUCUUUGGGUUGGCUGAAUUUUGGCCUUGCACAAGGCACCACUGAAAUUUGAAAUUUCCCUGCUGCCAUGCACUAAGGUAUCAGUGUAAGAGGGUAAAAGUAACUGUCUGUGGUGGUACUUCUGCAUCAAACCCAAACAAGUCAGGAUUCCCUGAUAAGGAAAUAUUAAUUCUGCACCAACGCAAGUCAACCUUUGUGACCUGCACAUAAAAUCUGGUCCUUAGGAAAGUCGAGGAGCUAUGUAGGGCAUUGAAGUGCCCCAGCUUUCAUAGGCUGCUGGGAGUCUUAUUCAACCACCUCUAUGACACUAGACUUUCAAUCUUCACGCUUUUCAUGUGAACUAAAGUCCCUUUUUUUUUUAAAGGACAAAAAUAAAAGGCUCCAGAACUCAAGCUUCCUAAGUAUAUCUUAGCUACUUUCAGUUGGUGAUCCUUUUUGUGUAUUUGCACGGCAUCAUGACAUUUGCACGCAGCCUUCAUUCUAAGUUUUAUAACAGUUCGAGAGGAAAAUCUGCAGAUACGCGGGAGCUCACUACAUAUACCGGUUACUCACAUGUGCAGAGAUUCACAGGGGAUAAUAGAUUCCCUUUCCUACUUUGGGUUUUCUCAUGUCCUGCUUUAGCGCUUUAUACAUGAAUAACUUCUUUGAACUCCAUAAUGUGAACAAGCUCUGCAUCCCAGUAUAGUCUCAAACCUUCGUUCUUUUUCUAGUGUAUGCUGUAGAGACAAAAGAAUGUACGCUAGUGUAGUCCAGGACGAAACAUGCUCUUGUUCACCAUAAAUAUUGCUUAUUAAAGUAGCUGCGUCAGUUUCUUGCUGAGGUUAAGGGGCAUAGUAAUAAAGUACUUAAGUGGGUUUUGUUCUCUCGCCUUAUUCUCCUUUCCACACGUGGUUCUCAUUACCAUUUAAUGGGACUUGUGCAUGUACACCGGAGAAGGAAGUUAUAUGGACCACUUUUUGUUUUUUUAAGCCUGUAAAUAUAUUUGCAGUACAUUUUAAGAGUCGUUUUAUUUCUCUGUAUUACACGGCAAUGCGGUGUGCCACAAAGUCAAUGUUUUAUUUCAACGGUUAUUAAAGAAGAAGAAGGAGGUUAAGUAAUAUUAUUGCAGUGUUUUGUGGCCUGUUUCAAGGCUUUUUUGUAGUAGUGCAGUGAAUGUAAAAUACAGUAAACUUUGCAAUGAGUGGUUCGGUCGGCUUUAGGCGACGUGGCCCAGUACCACUUGAAACUUAGGUGCCUUAGAUGAAUCUACAGAUGAUGAGUGGAUUCCAAGGGGUCAUGAAGGGAGCCCUUUCGCACUCAACCACACUGGUGCUUCAGCAGACCCUCCCACCGAUUUGCCCCAAAGAGAUGCUCCCACAAAUCUGGGAACCUGCUGGAGCUAGAAGCAACCACAGAAACCCUAGUGAUUUGAGUAGGAUUCCUUGGGCCACAUAGACAGCAUCCUGGGAGCCCAACCUGGGCAUUCAGUAUGUACAGAUGCCUAAGGCAACAGCUGAAUUCAGAAGCUUAGGUAAUGCUUAGAAUUAAAGAAGAGCUUUGUGUGCAGUUUUCAGAAUCCAGACAGCCCUCCUCGGCAAACUUUUCCAGAAUUUAAAUCCUAAAUGAAAAUAUUCUCAAGGGUAUCCUUCCCGCACCCCCAUGUUACAGGAGAACUGGAAAGCAUUUUGCUAUAGAAAUAAGUAGCAGUCAUUAUUUUUAUUUUUAAAAAUGGGUGGUCCUUUAAAAUAUCCACAACUGGAGGGCUUACUGGUGCACCCUACCUCAAAGGGCCACCGUUAACUACUGAUUUUAUUUAUUUUUUCACAAGCUGCAUUGCUUUCACGUGGCUAUCCAAAAAGCCCUGCCACACUUGAAAUACAUUUGCUUCAAAGCCUGGAUCCUAAACAUAGUCCAGUUGCCCCUGGCGUGUUAAAUUUGAAUUUGAACAGUACUACCAUAAUUCAGGCAGGGUGGCGCUGUGGGUUAAACCACAGAGCCUAGGACUUGCCGAUCAGAAGGUUGGCGGUUCAAAUCCCUGCGAUGGGUGAGCUCCCAUUGCUCAGUCCCUGCUGCUGUCAACCUAGCAGUUCGAAAGCACGUCAAAGUACAAGUAGAUAAAUAGGUACCGCUCCAGCAGGAAGGUAAACGGCGUUUCCAUGCGAUGCUCUGGUUUGCCGGAAGCGUUUUAGUCAUGCUGGCCACAUGGCCCAGAAGCUGUACGCCGGCUCCCUCGGCCAAUAAAGCGAGGUGAGCGCCACAACCCCAGAGUUGGUCACGACUGGACCUAAUGGUCAGGGUUCCCUUUACCUUUACCACAAUUCAGGCAGGGUGGCAAAUAAUUGAACAAAAAGGUAGCCUAGCCCUCAUUAAAAAACCUAGCAUUUUGGAUGGCCAGCUGGGCUAGAAUUCCCCCCCCCAACACCUAGUGUUUGGGGAGGUUUUGCGUUUCGCUGUGUACUUUUUGAAUCGGGGAGCAUUCCAGCCAUACGAAUCGUUACGGUAUGAUGUGAAGUAGGGCAGUCAAGACACAGGUUUUUCCACUACAACAGAAACUUAAGAAUGUAAGACAAGUCCCGCUAGCUCACAUCAAAGCCCCAUCUAGUCCACCAUCCUUUUUUCACAGUGGCCAACCAGAUGGGGAAACCAUAAGUAGGACCUUAGGCCUCUUUCAUGGGCUACAGCUAUGGAGAAACUCAACACAAGUUGGGGCAACCUUCGAGUGCAACUUUCUGAAUCAAUCUUUAUUUAACCCAUGUUAGUCAAGCAGACUUUUUCUCCGCCAUCUCCCAUUCUGCUAUCUUCUGUGAAAUCUCUCGUAAAACCGGUUGCCGGUGGCAAAAGCUGCAGGUGACCAUGCUCAAACGAAGCACCACUAUCUCCUUAAUUUUUCAUCUCCCACGUAGGAGACCCAAUCUUUGAAACCUUUAAUCAAACAGGACUGCUUGUGCCAACCUACCCAAGUACUUGAACAGAAGGGAAGCUCUUACUGUAUUUUACAUAUACGCGUAUAGCAUCUGUAAGAAAGGCACAUCCCCAACAAAUAACCGAGUGAAUGUUCUUUGAAAUGCCCAUAGGAACUCCGGACAGGUGCAAAGGUGCUGGCUUGCAACACCAGGUAGCAGGGAUCAUCGAGGCCAUUUAAGCGUCAAUGAACCACCACUCAGUGGUCUGACUACACAAACCAUUUCAUUUAUACACUACUGAGGCAAGUUUAUGACUUGAAAUGUGAACUUUUCUUAGGUUAAGAACAAACUAUAGAAAAAGAUAUUAUUAUGUAUGUUUGCCUUGUUUUCAAAUGUGCUAUUUACUUUAGGCGUUGUUGGUUUUUUGCUGUAUUUCCUGUCCUUUUGUGAAUGUCGGUGUUGCUGCUGUUCCAUGAAAAGUACUUUCCUAGGAGGUAGUAAAUAAAACAUUCCUUAAAAACA